Amphibalanus amphitrite is the source of this 1056-nucleotide long non-coding RNA. RefSeq lists it as uncharacterized. The record is from RefSeq and is a predicted model, not a curated record. NCBI's taxonomy places the organism in Eukaryota, Metazoa, Arthropoda, Thecostraca, Balanomorpha, Balanidae. The transcript has 4 exons.
GUAAUGCUAUUCUUUUCCUCAUUUUAGGCCGAAGGGACUGCGCGACUCGGAGUCCUUCCUACGGACAAGAGACGCUAGUGGACGGCAGUCUGUUCACGCGUGGGGGUGGGUGGAUGGGUUUGGGCCCGGAGAACUCCACCGUGUCAUCGGGCGCCACACAGCUGACACAUAUGUGGAGAUUCUCGAUGAGGUCCUGUUCCCGACGUUGGAGCAAAUGCGAGGGGCGGCUCACCAGCACGUGCUUGUGCAAGACCAUGCUCCUCAACACACGGCAGCCGUCACCAAAAACUGGUUUGAGGAGCACCAAGCUCAAGUGGCUGUCGUGGAGUGGGCUCCCAAGAGUCCAGACCUCAACAUCAUUGAGAAUGUGUGGGGCGUAAUGGCCCGGGAGCUCGGCGAGGACGGUGGUCUGCGCGGCCUGACCUCCGACCAGCUGUGGACACGCGUGGAGAAGAAGUGGGAGGAGCUGCGAUCCCGGCCGGCGAUGUUUGCCUCUCUGGCGGCUUCGAUGCCCGGCCGUCUGCAGGCCGUCAUCGAGAGCGGCGGCGGACACACGGGAUACUAGGAGCGCCAGUAAGGUAUGGUGCUGCUGACUUGAGACCGACGACCGACAACCGUCGAGCGGUUGAUUCCGAGAGUCUAGCUUGUCGCCGGCGGCGAUGCUGCCGUGGCUGUGGCUGCCGCUGCGUCUGUUCGGAGCCUGCUGCCGUUUGACUCCGUAUUGGCCACUGCUGAGUCAGGAAGCCUUGAAUGCACCGCUAGCUCGCUAUGUUAUUUGUGUCUGUUCUUAACCGUUUCUGUGCAGUGUGAGAGGUGCUGACUUGUUUUGCAGUGUUGAUUGCUCUGAAAUGUGUUUGUUGAAAAUACUACAACUGAGUGUACCAUGAUUAAGUGUUGAAAGGCUAACCCUCGCCUUUAUAGCGGGGUCUUAGACCUCGGGUUUCCUAUUCGGUGUUCAUAGAGGCCACUGACCGGUUGCAGCCUAACCCGAAUGCACAAAUGAUAUUUUCACAAAAAGUAUUAAAUAAAAGCCAAACGAUAUGCCAAGAAAACUUC